RNAcentral lists this transfer RNA (63 nucleotides) under Rattus norvegicus (Norway rat). It matches the Rfam family "tRNA", at positions 1 to 62 of the family's 71-position model. Rfam says of the family: Transfer RNA (tRNA) molecules are approximately 80 nucleotides in length. The record is from Rfam by way of RNAcentral. Lineage: Eukaryota; Metazoa; Chordata; Mammalia; Rodentia; Muridae.
GGGGAUUUAGCUCAAUGGUAGAGCGCUUGCCUAGCAAGCACAAGGCCCUGGGUUCAGUCCCCA